RNAcentral lists this ribosomal RNA (496 nucleotides) under uncultured bacterium. Its description in RNAcentral is "partial 16S ribosomal RNA". It matches the Rfam family "Bacterial small subunit ribosomal RNA", at positions 28 to 507 of the family's 1533-position model. The record is from RNAcentral.
GAUGAACGCUGCGGCGUGCCUAAUACAUGCAAGUCGAGCGAACAGAUGAGGAGCUUGCUCCUCUGACGUUAGCGGCGGACGGGUGAGUAACACGUGGAUAACCUACCUAUAAGACUGGGAUAACUUCGGGAAACCGGAGCUAAUACCGGAUAAUAUAUUGAACCGCAUGGUUCAAUAGUGAAAGACGGUUUUGCUGUCACUUAUAGAUGGAUCCGCGCCGCAUUAGCUAGUUGGUAAGGUAACGGCUUACCAAGGCAACGAUGCGUAGCCGACCUGAGAGGGUGGUGGGCAAAAUUGGAAAGGAGAUACGGACAAGACGACUACGGGAGGCAGCAGUGGGGAAGCGUGGGCAAUGGGCGAAAGCCUGACGGAGCAAGGCAGAGUGGGUGAAGAAGGUUGUCGGAUCGUAAAACACUGUUGUUGGGGAAGAAAAAAAGUGGAGGUAACAAUGCAGGGCUUGACGGGACCUAAACAAAAAGCAACGGCUAACUACGUG